AGCUCCCACUGUAUGCUUAUUGCUCUGUGAAAUGAUGCAGAGAAAAUUAUCAUGACCCCUACACAGGGAUGACACACAAAUUUGUAGAGGGUUCUGUAUUUUUU
Molecule: small nuclear RNA, 104 nt
Organism: Phyllostomus discolor (pale spear-nosed bat)
Lineage: Eukaryota; Metazoa; Chordata; Mammalia; Chiroptera; Phyllostomidae
Source: RefSeq, a predicted model, not a curated record